RNAcentral lists this ribosomal RNA (446 nucleotides) under uncultured bacterium. Its description in RNAcentral is "bacterial SSU rRNA". It matches the Rfam family "Bacterial small subunit ribosomal RNA", at positions 330 to 793 of the family's 1533-position model. The record is from RNAcentral.
ACCAGACUCCUACGGGAGGCAGCAGUGGGGAAUCUUCCGCAAUGGGCGAAAGCCUGACGGAGCAACGCCGCGUGAUCGAAUGAAGGCCUUCGGGUUGUAAAGCUCUGUCGCAGAGGACGAAAAUGACGGUACUCUGCAAGAAAGCUCCGGCUAACUACGUGCCAGCAGCCGCGGUAAUACGUAGGGAGCAAGCGUUGUCCGGAAUUACUGGGUGUAAAGGGAGCGUAGGCGGGAGGAUAAGUUGAAUGUGAAAUCUAUGGGCUCAACCCAUAGCUGCGUUCAAAACUGUUCUUCUUGAGUGAAGUAGAGGCAGGCGGAAUUCCUAGUGUAGCGGUGAAAUGCGUAGAUAUUAGGAGGAACACCAGUGGCGAAGGCGGCCUGCUGGGCUUUUACUGACGCUGAGGCUCGAAAGCGUGGGUAGCAAACAGGAUUAGAUACCCGAGUAG